GUGCACGCUGGCGGUAGGCCUAACACCUGCAAGUCGCACGGCAGCACAGUAAGAGCUUGCUCUUACGGGUGGCGAGUGGCGGACGGGUGAGGAAUACAUCGGAAUCUACUUUUUCGUGGGGGAUAACGUAGGGAAACUUACGCUAAUACCGCAUACGACCUACGGGUGAAAGCAGUGGAUCUUCGGACCUUGCGCGAUUGAAUGAGCCGAUGUCGGAUUAGCUAGUUGGCGGGGUAAAGGCCCACCAAGGCGACGAUCCGUAGCUGGUCUGAGAGGAUGAUCAGCCACACUGGAACUGAGACACGGUCCAGACUCCUACGGGAGGCAGCAGUGGGGAAUAUUGGACAAUGGGCGCAAGCCUGAUCCAGCCAUACCGCGUGGGUGAAGAAGGCCUUCGGGUUGUAAAGCCCUUUUGUUGGGAAAGAAAAGCAGCAGGUUAAUACCCCGCUGUUCUGACGGUACCCAAAGAAUAAGCACCGGCUAACUUCGUG
This 491-nucleotide ribosomal RNA is filed under the name uncultured bacterium. Its description in RNAcentral is "partial 16S ribosomal RNA". It matches the Rfam family "Bacterial small subunit ribosomal RNA", at positions 29 to 507 of the family's 1533-position model. The record is from RNAcentral.